Molecule: ribosomal RNA, 506 nt
Filed under: uncultured bacterium
Lineage: Bacteria
Description: partial 16S ribosomal RNA
Rfam family: Bacterial small subunit ribosomal RNA
Source: RNAcentral
AGUGAACGCUGGCGGUAGGCCUAACACAUGCAAGUCGAACGGCAGCACAGGAGAGCUUGCUCUCUGGGUGGCGAGUGGCGGACGGGUGAGGAAUACAUCGGCAUCUACUUUUUCGUGGGGGAUAACGUAGGGAAACUUACGCUAAUACCGCAUACGACCUACGGGUGAAAGCAGGGGAUCUUCGGACCUUGCGCGAUUGAAUGAGCCGAUGUCGGAUUAGCUAGUUGGCGGGGUAAAGGCCCACCAAGGCGACGGUCCGUAGCUGGUCUGAGAGGAGGAUCAGACAAACUGGAACUGAGACACGGGCCAGACUCCUACGGGAGGCAGCAGUGGGGAAUAUUGGAUAAUGGGCGCAAGCCUGAGACAGCCAUACCGCGUGGGUGAAGAAGGCCUUCGGGUUGUAAAGCCCUUUUGUUGGGAAAGAAAUCCAGCUGGUUAAUACCCGGUUGGGAUGACGGUACCCAAAGAAUAAGCACCGGCUAACUUCGUGCCAGCCGCCGCGGUAA